AUUGAACGCUGGCGGCAGGCCUAACACAUGCAAGUCGAACGAGUGGCGGACGGGUGUGUAAUGUCUGGGAAACUGCCCGAUGGAGGGGGAUAACUACUGGAAACGGUAUCUAAUACCCCAUACCAUCUCAUGUGCCCUGAUGGGAUUGGCUAGUAGGUGGGGUAACGGCUCACCUAGGCGACGAUCCCUCUAUGGUCUGAGAGGAUGACCAGCCACACUGGAACUGAGACACGGUCCAUACUCCUACUGUAGGCAGCAGUGGUGAAUAUUGCACAAUGGGCGCAAGCCUGAUGCAGCCAUGCCUCGUGUAUGAAGAAGGCCUUCGGGUUGUAAAGUACUUUCAGCGGGGAUGCGUUACUCGAAGAAGAAGCACCGGCUAACUCCGUGCCAGCAGCCGCGGUAAUUG
RNAcentral lists this ribosomal RNA (406 nucleotides) under uncultured bacterium. RNAcentral describes it as "partial 16S ribosomal RNA". It matches the Rfam family "Bacterial small subunit ribosomal RNA", at positions 30 to 527 of the family's 1533-position model. The record is from RNAcentral.